Molecule: ribosomal RNA, 842 nt
Filed under: uncultured Actinomycetes bacterium
Lineage: Bacteria; Bacillati; Actinomycetota; Actinomycetes
Description: bacterial SSU rRNA
Rfam family: Bacterial small subunit ribosomal RNA
Source: RNAcentral
GCUGGCGGCGUGCUUAACACAUGCAAGUCGAACGAGGUCCAACCUUCGGGUGAAGACCGAGUGGCGAACGGGUGAGUAACACGUGGGGAACCUGCCCUUCUCUCUGGGAUAACUCCGGGAAACCGGAGCUAAUACCGGAUACUCCUUGCGGACCGCAUGGUCUGCUCGGGAAAGCUCCGGCGGAGAAGGAUGGCCCCGCGGCCCAUUAGCUUGUUGGUGGGGUAACGGCCCACCAAGGCGACGAUGGGUAGCCGAGCUGAGAGGCUGAUCGGCCACACUGGGACUGAGACACGGCCCAGACUCCUACGGGAGGCAGCAGUGGGGAAUCUUGCGCAAUGGGCGAAAGCCUGACGCAGCAACGCCGCGUGCGGGAUGAAGGCUCUCGGGUCGUAAACCGCUUUCAGCAGGGAUGAAAAUGACAGUACCUGCAGAAGAAGCCCCGGCUAAAUACGUGCCAGCAGCCGCGGUAAUACGUAUGGGGCAAGCGUUAUCCGGAUUCAUUGGGCGUAAAGCGCGCGUAGGCGGCUUGUUAAGUCAGGCGUGAAAUCCGGGGGCUCAACCCGCGGCUUGCGUCUGAAACUGGCAGGCUUGAGUCUGGUAGAGGAAAGUGGAAUUCCUGGUGUAGCGGUGAAAUGCGCAGAUAUCAGGAGGAACACCAGUGGCGAAGGCGGCUUUCUGGGCCACGACUGACGCUGAGGCGCGAAAGCUAGGGGAGCGAACAGGAUUAGAUACCCUGGUAGUCCUAGCCGUAAACGAUGGGCACUAGGUGUGGGGGGUCAUCGACUCCCUCCGUGCCGAAGCUAACGCAUUAAGUGCCCCGCCUGGGGAGUACGGCCGCAANG